CCGUUCAGGGGUAAAUGGGUGACCUCCUGGAUUCGAAAGGGAGUUGUGGAUGAAGUUUGGUCGAGGGUCCUUUUCCUACCUUAUUCUGCGGAGUAACGGGAAGAUGGAGAGGGAAACUCCUAAGCUGCCUAUCUUCCCCGGUAGAUAUGUUGUGACAUGUUGGGAGUCAGUCUAAGGCCCGGGGUGGUAGCCCGUGAGUCGUAGCCAGUGAGCCAAAAGACGAGCGGACCCCUGGUGACCCGGCUGAAGCCAGACAGUAAUGGUGGAGACAACCCGCUAGUUGAGGACUAGGCACGGUGCGUCGAAAAGCGACUCCGUACAGUGAGCUUUGGUUGAGGUUACGGCUUCCCUUAGUGAUCUCGGUGGCGUAAUUCGUCUGGGUUAGUCUCUGUUGCAGCGAGAUCUUCGGAUCGUCACCCGUCCCGUCUUGAAACACGGACCAAGGAGUCUAACAUGUGCGCAAGUCAUUGGGACUUGCAAAACCUAAAGGCGAAAUAAAAGUGAUGGCUUGUUGGCCAAGGGAAGAUGGUGGCAGUGAGCUCGCAAACAGAGUGUCGCGCACCCGCAUUCCCGGGGCUCCUUAAUCUCCCUGUGUGGAGUGGUGCACCCAGAGCGUACAUGUUGGGACCCGAAAGAUGGUGAACUAUGCCUGGCCAGGAUGAAGUCAGGGGAAACCCUGAUGGAGGUCCGAAGCGAUUCUGACGUGCAAAUCGAUCGCAUGAGCUGGGUAUAGGGGCGAAAGACCAAUCGAACCAUCUAGUAGCUGGUUCCCUCCGAAGUUUCCCUCAGGAUAGCUGUCACUCGGAGAAAAAAAUGUGAAUCUCAUACGGUCAAGCGAAUGAUUAGAGGCCGUGGGGUCGAAAUGAUUUCACCCUAUUCUCAAACUUUAAAUGUGUGAGACCUUUGGUUUGCAAAACUGAAGCUCAAGUUGGAUGGAGAGUGACUAGUGGGCCACUUCUGGUAAGCAGAACUGGCGAUGUGGGAUGAACCAAACGCUGAGUUAAGGCGCCUAAACGAUGCUAUAGAGCGACCUGGGGAAGGUUGGUAGUUUGCUCAAGACAGCAGGACGGUGGCCAUGGAAGUUGGAAUCCGCUAAGGAGUGUGUAACAACUCACCUGCCGAAGCAAGCAGCUCUAAAAAUGGAUGGCGCUCAAGCAUUGUGCCUAUACUCGGCCGUCAGCGGCAGUGAGGGUUUCUGGGACUUGUUCCUGGAGCCUGAAAAGGCCCUGACGAGUAGGAGGGUGCGGCGGUGAGCGUAGAAGGGUGGGCGUGAGCCUGCCUGGAGCCACCGUUGGUACAGAUCUUGGUGGUAGUAGCAAAUACUGUUGAAAGUCGCCUUGGAGCAGAUGCGGAGAAGGGUUUCGUGUCAACAGCGAUUGACCACGAGUGAGUCGUUCCUAAGCCCUAUGUGAAAGUUGGUGCCAAUAGGAAGUCCAUGAAGUGAACACUUGGAUUAUUGGCGGGCGAAAGGGAAUCUGUUAAAAAUUCCAGAACCAGACACGGAAUCGUCUCAGCUCCUCGUGUGAUCUGUCGGGGUAACCCGAAAUGACCUGGAGAAGCUGUCGGGAGAUCUGGGCAGAGUUUUCUUCUCUGUUUUAGUGUUCGUAGUCCCUGGAAUCCUCUAGAAGGGAGAUAGGGAAUGGAGCGCGCAGAGCACCGCAUUUACUGUGGUGUCCAGAAUUUCCCCUCGGACCUUGAAAAUCCAGGGGAGGGCAACGUGAGACAUUUCGUGUC
Molecule: ribosomal RNA, 1734 nt
Filed under: Bacillinae sp. JAR-2018
Lineage: Eukaryota; Metazoa; Arthropoda; Insecta; Phasmatodea; Bacillidae
Description: partial 28S ribosomal RNA
Rfam family: Eukaryotic large subunit ribosomal RNA
Source: RNAcentral